GAAAUGCGAUAAGUAAUGUGAAUUGCAGAAUUCAGUGAAUCAUCGAAUCUUUGAACGCACAUUGCGCCCGCCAGUAUUCUGGCGGGCAUGCCUGUCCGAGCGUCAUUUCAACCAUCAAGUCCCCGGGCUUGUGUUGGGGACCUGCGGCUGCCCGCAGGCCCUGAAAACCAGUGGCGGGCUCGCUGUCACACCGAGCGUAGUAGCAAUCACCUCGCUCAGGGCGUGCUGCGGGUUCCGGCCGUUAAACAGCCUUACAAAACCCAAGGUUGACCUCGGAUCAGGUAGGAAGACCCGCUGAACUUAAGC
RNAcentral lists this unclassified non-coding RNA (306 nucleotides) under plant metagenome. RNAcentral describes it as "partial contains 5.8S ribosomal RNA, internal transcribed spacer 2, and large subunit ribosomal RNA". The stretch from base 1 to 105 matches the Rfam family "5.8S ribosomal RNA", at positions 50 to 154 of the family's 154-position model. The record is from RNAcentral.